Molecule: ribosomal RNA, 489 nt
Filed under: uncultured bacterium
Lineage: Bacteria
Description: bacterial SSU rRNA
Rfam family: Bacterial small subunit ribosomal RNA
Source: RNAcentral
AAUCAACGCUGGCGGCGCGCCUAACACAUGCAAGUCGCACGAGGAAGCGGGGCAACCCGCAAGUACAGUGGCGUACGGGUGAGUAACACGUGGAUGAUCUACCUUCUAGUGGGGAAUAACCCUGGGAAACCGGGGCUAAUACCGCAUAAGCUCGAGAGAGGAAAGCAGCAAUGCGCUGGAAGAGGAGUCCGCGGCCGAUUAGCUAGUUGGGAGGGUAAAAGCCUACCAUGGCAAAGAUCGGUAGCCGGCCUGAGAGGGCACACGGCCACACUGGCACUGAAACACGGGCCAGACUCCUACGGGAGGCAGCAGUGGGGAAUCUUGCACAAUGGGGGAAACCCUGAUGCAGCGACGCCGCGUGAGCGAUGAAGCCCUUCGGGGUGUAAAGCUCUUUCGUCAGGGGAGAUGAUGACGGUACCUGGAGAAGCAGCUGCGGCUAACUACGUGCCAGCAGCCGCGGUAAUACGUAGGCAGCAAGCGUUGUUCGGU